GCCUGUAGCUGAGUGGCUAAGGUGUUUGGCUGCGAGCCAAAGGGUUGAUGGUUCAAGCCCCAGUGUAGUCA
Non-coding RNA from Gymnothorax javanicus (giant moray), 71 nucleotides. Lineage: Eukaryota; Metazoa; Chordata; Actinopteri; Anguilliformes; Muraenidae. The record is from the annotation of a GenBank genome assembly.